CUGUCACAAUGACGGAGUCCGGUUUCGGCCGGACUAGGUGAUCCACACCGGUGCUUCGGACAGCGGUUCGAUUCCGCUCAGCUCCACUUUCCACCUACGGGCGGAUCUUUCAGGGG
RNAcentral lists this transfer-messenger RNA (116 nucleotides) under Cyanobacteria bacterium bin.275. RNAcentral describes it as "partial transfer-messenger RNA". It matches the Rfam family "Cyanobacteria transfer-messenger RNA", at positions 1 to 102 of the family's 288-position model. Rfam says of the family: Bacterial tmRNA, also known as 10Sa RNA or SsrA, is named for its dual tRNA and mRNA-like properties. Its role is to liberate the mRNA from a stalled ribosome. To accomplish this part of the tmRNA is used as a reading frame that ends in a translation stop signal. The record is from RNAcentral. Lineage: Bacteria; Bacillati; Cyanobacteriota.